AGUACGUGGUCGUAGACCCGAAACCAGGUGAUCUACCCAUGUCCAGGGUGAAGGUGAGGUAACACUUACUGGAGGCCCGAACCCACGCACGUUGAAAAGUGCGGGGAUGAGGUGUGGGUAGCGGAGAAAUUCCAAUCGAACUUGGAGAUAGCUGGUUCUCUCCGAAAUAGCUUUAGGGCUAGCCUCGUGAAUUAGAAUACUGGAGGUAGAGCACUGUUUGGACUAGGGGGGCAUCUCGCUUUACCGAAUUCAGACAAACUCCGAAUGCCAGAUAUUUAUACACGGGAGUCAGACUGCGAGUGAUAAGAUCCGUAGUCAAAAGGGAAACAGCCCAGACCACCAGCUAAGGUCCCAAAGUAAUCGUUAAGUGGAAAAGGAUGUGGCGUUGCUUAGACAACCAGGAUGUUGGCUUAGAAGCAGCCAUCAUUUAAAGAGUGCGUAAUAGCUCACUGGUCGAGUGACGCUGCGCCGAAAAUGUAUCGGGGCUAAACGAUUCACCGAAGCUGUGGAUUGACAUCUAAGAUGUCAGUGGUAGGAGAGCGUUCUAAGUGCGUUGAAGUCAGACCGGAAGGACUGGUGGAGCGCUUAGAAGUGAGAAUGCCGGUAUGAGUAGCGAAAGAUGGGUGAGAAUCCCAUCCACCGUAUGACUAAGGUUUCCUGAGGAAGGCUCGUCCGCUCAGGGUUAGUCGGGACCUAAGUCGAGGCCGAUAGGCGUAGACGAUGGACAACAGGUUGAUAUUCCUGUACCACCUCCCCGCCGUUUGAGCAAUGGGGGGACGCAGUAGGAUAGGAAAAGCGCGUCGUUGGUUGAACGCGCCCAAGCAAUGAGACGUGGAAGUAGGCAAAUCCGCUUCCUAUAACGUCAAGCUGUGAUGGGGAGCUCUUUUAGAGCGAAGUUUCUGAUUUCACACUGCCAAGAAAAGCCUCUAGCGAGGCGGGAGGUGCCCGUACCGCAAACCGACACAGGUAGUCGAGGAGAGAAUCCUAAGGUGUGCGAGAGAACUCUCGUUAAGGAACUCGGCAAAAUGACCCCGUAACUUCGGGAGAAGGGGUGCUCUCGAGAGAGAGCCGCAGUGAAUAGGCCCAGGCGACUGUUUAGCAAAAACACAGGUCUCUGCAAAACCGUAAGGUGAAGUAUAGGGGCUGACGCCUGCCCGGUGCUGGAAGGUUAAGAGGAGGGGUUAGCGCAAGCGAAGCUCUGAAUUGAAGCCCCAGUAAACGGCGGCCGUAACUAUAACGGUCCUAAGGUAGCGAAAUUCCUUGUCGGGUAAGUUCCGACCCGCACGAAAGGCGUAACGAUCUGGGCACUGUCUCAACGAGAGACUCGGUGAAAUUAUAGUACCUGUGAAGAUGCAGGUUACCCGCGACAGGACGGAAAGACCCCGUGGAGCUUUACUGUAGCUUGAUAUUGAAUUUUGGUACAACUUGUACAGGAUAGGUAGGAGCCAGAGAAGUCGGAGCGCCAGCUUCGAUGGAGGCGUCGGUGGGAUACUACCCUGGUUGUACUGAAAUUCUAACCCGUACCCCUUAUCGGGGUAGGAGACAGUGUCAGGUGGACAGUUUGACUGGGGCGGUCGCCUCCUAAAAGGUAACGGAGGCGCCCAAAGGUUCCCUCAGAAUGGUUGGAAAUCAUUCGUAGAGUGUAAAGGCACAAGGGAGCUUGACUGCGAGACCUACAAGUCGAGCAG
RNAcentral lists this ribosomal RNA (1688 nucleotides) under Rhizophagus sp. MUCL 43196. RNAcentral describes it as "Bacterial large subunit ribosomal RNA". It matches the Rfam family "Bacterial large subunit ribosomal RNA", at positions 698 to 2396 of the family's 2925-position model. The record is from Rfam by way of RNAcentral. Lineage: Eukaryota; Fungi; Glomeromycota; Glomeromycetes; Glomerales; Glomeraceae.